GGGGGGGGGGGGGGGGGGGGGGGGGGGGGGGAGGGGGGGGGCUGGGGGGGGGGGCUGGCUCUGCUUGGGUGGGUUGCGAACGGGUGAGUAACGCGUAGGUAACCUGCCUGGUAGCGGGGGAUAACUAUUGGAAACGAUAGCUAAUACCGCAUAAAAUUGAUUAUUGCAUGAUAAUUAAUUGAAAGAUGCAACUGCAUCACUACCAGAUGGACCUGCGUUGUAUUAGCUAGUUGGUGAGGUAACGGCUCGCCAAGGCGACGAUACAUGGCCGACCUGAGAGGGUGAUCGGCCACACUGGGACUGAGACACGGCCCAGACUCCUACGGGAGGCAGCAGUAGGGAAUCUUCGGCAAUGGGGGGAACCCUGACCGAGCAACGCCGCGUGAGUGAAGGAGGUUUUCGGAUCGUAAAGCUCUGUUGUAAGAGAAGAACGGGUGUGAGAGUGGAAAGUUCACACUGUGACGGUAUCUUACCAGAAAGGGACGGCUAACUACGUG
This 497-nucleotide ribosomal RNA is filed under the name uncultured bacterium. RNAcentral's name for it is "partial 16S ribosomal RNA". It matches the Rfam family "Bacterial small subunit ribosomal RNA", at positions 27 to 507 of the family's 1533-position model. The record is from RNAcentral.